AUUCCACGCUUCAGCGGACCAGCCUCCCCGCGCUCCCGGAGAAGGGGGUCGGCGACGCGGAGGCGGGGUGGGGGCCGUAGGGGAUGGAACCGAGGCGCGCGCGAGAAGAGCCGAGGAAGACAGGCCCGAGGCGCGGUUGCACACCGGCAGGUCCAGCACCUCCAUGCCUCGAGGCAUGGCGCGGCCAGGGAGCGGCAGGAGGACACCUAGCGUGGGACGGCUACACCUGUCUGGGCGCAGGCCCGCCGCCCUUGCACUCUCCACCCAAGUGCCCAACGCUGCGGUACGGCCCGCUUUGGCUCGGGGUGUCUGCCGGAGAAGCGCCUUACAGAGGGACCCGGGCGGUGGGCCCUGCGGCAAAGUGGCCCACGCACCCUCCACACCGCUCCCGGGCGGCCGCACCUGGCACUCCCGGCCCUCUGGGGUUCCUGCCUUUUUCGGGGGGGUGGUGGUGAGACCGGGUCUCACUCUGUCGCCUGACCUGCGAUCACUGCUGACUGCAGUCUUGAACUCCUGGACCCAAGCGAUUCUCCUGCCUCCGCCUCCCAAAGUGCUAGGAUUACAGGUGUAAGCCGCUGCGCCUGGCCCCUUCUUUUCUUCACUCUCUCAUGCAUUCAUUUCUUGUUUCCACAUGCAUUAAUUUGUCCGUUGCUUUGGUCAUUCCUGUUUUGAUGCUUAGGGAAACACUCACUGAGAGCCAAGCCGACCGUUGGGUACUGUGGUCUCUGGGAUGACAAAGACAUGGUCCUUUCCCUUGAGGACUUCACAUUAAACUGACAAGUUCAUUCAUUCUGGCUUUUCUCUAAAGUGCACGAUCAUGAAAGUCUGUGACAAGGGCCAUAUUUCUGAGAUGUUAGAAAGUGCGACCGGCGCGCAA
RNAcentral lists this long non-coding RNA (877 nucleotides) under Homo sapiens (human). Its description in RNAcentral is "HSALNT0293489". Lineage: Eukaryota; Metazoa; Chordata; Mammalia; Primates; Hominidae. The record is from RNAcentral.